ACUCAAAUGAAUUGACGGGGGCCCGCACAAGCGGUGGAGCAUGUUGUUUAAUACGUCACUAACCGUAGAACCUUACCAGGGUUUGACAUGUGAGGCACCGGUAUGAAAGUACCGUUCGUAGCAAUACGACCUCAACACAGGUGUUGCAUGGCUGUCGUCAGCUCGUGUCGUGAGAUGUUGGGUUAAGUCCCGCAACGAGCGCAACCCUCAUCCCAUGUUGCCAGCGCGUGAAGGCGGGAACUCUUGGGAAACUGCCGGGGUAACUCGGAGGAAGGUGAGGAUGACGUCAAGUCAGCAUGGCCCUUACAUCCUGGGCUACAAACAUGCUACAAUGGACGGUACACAAAGGGAUCCGAAGCCGCGAGGUGGGGGAAAUCUCAAAAAUCCGUUCUCAGUUCGGAUCGCAGGCUGCAACUCGCCUGCGUGAAGUUGGAAUCGCUAGUAACCGCAGGUCAGCGAAACUGCGGUGAAUACGUUCCCGGGCCUUGCACACACCGCCCGU
This 502-nucleotide ribosomal RNA is filed under the name uncultured bacterium. RNAcentral describes it as "partial 16S ribosomal RNA". It matches the Rfam family "Bacterial small subunit ribosomal RNA", at positions 899 to 1397 of the family's 1533-position model. The record is from RNAcentral.